RNAcentral lists this non-coding RNA (27 nucleotides) under Rattus norvegicus (Norway rat). Lineage: Eukaryota; Metazoa; Chordata; Mammalia; Rodentia; Muridae. The record is from RNAcentral.
UAAAAAUGGGCCUUGGGACAUAAGUAC